UGGCUGUUUGUGGCUUGCCCUCUUUUAGCCCUAACGUGAACAUAAUUAUCCUUAGGAGGUUCUCCACCAUCAGAGUCAUCCUUAACUUGUUUCCCUGCUUGCUUGUUCCUUAAGUUAGAGCUAACGUUUUGGUCUGUUUUGUGUCUUUUUCCACCAUCUUGUUCUUUUGAACAGUCUGAACUAUCUCUUGAUGGAGCCUUCUGCAGCUCUCCUUCAACAUUCUUGUUGGCAUUGG
Molecule: unclassified non-coding RNA, 235 nt
Filed under: Hevea brasiliensis (rubber tree)
Lineage: Eukaryota; Viridiplantae; Streptophyta; Magnoliopsida; Malpighiales; Euphorbiaceae
Source: RNAcentral